Molecule: ribosomal RNA, 301 nt
Filed under: uncultured bacterium
Lineage: Bacteria
Description: partial 16S ribosomal RNA
Rfam family: Bacterial small subunit ribosomal RNA
Source: RNAcentral
CAGUAGCCACGGUAAAACGGAGGGAGCUAGCGUUGUUCGGAUUUACUGGGCGUAAAGCGCACGUAGGCGGAUCGAUCAGUCAGGGGUGAAAUCCCAGAGCUCAACUCUGGAACUGCCUUUGAUACUGUCGAUCUGGAGUAUGGAAGAGGUGAGUGGAAUUCCGAGUGUAGAGGUGAAAUUCGUAGAUAUUCGGAGGAACACCAGUGGCGAAGGCGGCUCACUGGUCCAUUACUGACGCUGAGGUGCGAAAGCGUGGGGAGCAAACAGGAUUAGAUACCCCCGUAGUCCCUGUCUCUUAUAA